Molecule: non-coding RNA, 87 nt
Organism: Xylariales sp. AK1849
Lineage: Eukaryota; Fungi; Ascomycota; Sordariomycetes; Xylariales
Source: the annotation of a GenBank genome assembly
GGUGCUGUAGUAUAGUGGUCAGUACGACACGUUGUGGAGGUUUCUUACAGAUCCGUGUAGACCUGGAUUCGAUUUCCAGCAGCGCCA